GUGGGGAAUAUUGGACAAUGGGCGAAAGCCUGAUCCAGCCAUGCCGCGUGUGUGAAGAAGGUCUUCGGAUUGUAAAGCACUUUAAGUUGGGAGGAAGGGAAGUAAGUUAAUACCUUGCUGUUUUGACGUUACCGACAGAAUAAGCACCGGCUAACUUCGUGCCAGCAGCCGCGGUAAUACGAAGGGUGCAAGCGUUAAUCGGAAUUACUGGGCGUAAAGCGCGCGUAGGUGGUUUUGUAAGUUGGAGGUGAAAUCCCCGGGCUCAACCUGGGAACUGCCUCCAAAACUGCAUGACUAGAGUACGGUAGAGGGUAGUGGAAUUUCCUGUGUAGCGGUGAAAUGCGUAGAUAUAGGAAGGAACACCAGUGGCGAAGGCGACUACCUGGACUGAUACUGACACUGAGGUGCGAAAGCGUGGGGAGCAAACAGGAUUAGAAACCCCGGUAGUCC
This 450-nucleotide ribosomal RNA is filed under the name uncultured bacterium. Its description in RNAcentral is "partial 16S ribosomal RNA". It matches the Rfam family "Bacterial small subunit ribosomal RNA", at positions 354 to 796 of the family's 1533-position model. The record is from RNAcentral.